UAACAAAUCUGGUGUUUUACAACA
Molecule: non-coding RNA, 24 nt
Filed under: Arabidopsis thaliana (thale cress)
Lineage: Eukaryota; Viridiplantae; Streptophyta; Magnoliopsida; Brassicales; Brassicaceae
Source: RNAcentral